UACGGAGGGAGCUAGCGUUGUUCGGAAUUACUGGGCGUAAAGCGCACGUAGGCGGCUUUGUAAGUUAGAGGUGAAAGCCUGGGGCUCAACUCCAGAACUGCCUUUAAAACUGCAUCGCUUGAAUCCAGGAGAGGUGAGUGGAAUUCCGAGUGUAGAGGUGAAAUUCGUAGAUAUUCGGAAGAACACCAGUGGCGAAGGCGGCUCACUGGACUGGUAUUGACGCUGAGGUGCGAAAGCGUGGGGAGCAAACAGG
Molecule: ribosomal RNA, 253 nt
Filed under: uncultured bacterium
Lineage: Bacteria
Description: partial 16S ribosomal RNA
Rfam family: Bacterial small subunit ribosomal RNA
Source: RNAcentral